UACGUAGGGUGCAAGCGUUGUCCGGAAUCAUUGGGCGUAAAGCGCGCGUAGGUGGCUUCGUAAGUCCGUUGUGAAAGUCAAAGGCUCAACCUUUGAAUGCCGAUGGAUACUGCGGAGCUAGAGUACGGAAGAGGCGAGUGGAAUUCCUGGUGUAGCGGUGGAAUGCGCAGAUAUCAGGAGGAACACCAAUAGCGAAGGCAGCUCGCUGGGACGUCACUGACGCUGAGACGCGAAAGCGUGGGGAGCAAACAGG
This 253-nucleotide ribosomal RNA is filed under the name uncultured bacterium. RNAcentral's name for it is "partial 16S ribosomal RNA". It matches the Rfam family "Bacterial small subunit ribosomal RNA", at positions 524 to 776 of the family's 1533-position model. The record is from RNAcentral.